UAUUGCAUUGUUUUUCAUAUUAUUAUCUUUUAUGGUUUGUAAACAUGUUCUCAUUGAAUGGCUUUGCAGAUGAAGGGGAGUAAAGCAAAAGCUUCUAAUUCCCAAAGUCAGCUUCCAGACUAUGAGUUACAAAGGCUCAGAAAAUUGAAGCAUAAUGCUGAAAGAAUGUCAGCCCAAGGAUCGGGAUCCUUGGCGAAUAAGAUACUGCAACAAAAAAACACGCGACAUACUUUGUUUGAGUGUGAGGCAGACAGAUGAUGGCUCCUCAUGAGACUCUGAUACGGAACAGGAAACUCUUGGUAGUGAAAAAAGACAAGUAUGUGAAAAGGUCUCUUCUCAACAACAUCCAGUUCCUACACGGGAAAUUCAAAGGAAGCAGCAAGAACAACAAUUGGGGUCAACAAAGGCAUUUGUGAAGAAAAGAGCGUUCUGUUCUCCUGGCUCAAUGUCAGCCUACCUCGAGUUUCGGAAACGACAAAAGGAUGAAGCGCUGAUGAUGAGCAGUGAGGUGCAUGAAAAAGGGCAAAAUUAUGAUGAUGAGCAGCUGAAUGAGACCGAUUGUGCUCUUCAGUUCGAUUGUGAGGGCAAUGAAGCAGCGGAACGAGCAUUUAUGGCACAGUUUGGAAUGGAAGGUAUAUUCUGAUCAUUAAUUAUGAGAGUUUUCAAAUUAAACGUUUGUUAAUUAAUUAGCUAUUGAACUUUCAUUUAUAAUUAGUUAGUAUUGACACUUCGUUUACUUUUGUAAUGCAACGAAUAUAUAUUAUAUGUACUUCGUUUAUUUUGUAAUGCAACGAAGAUAUAUUAUAUGUACUUU
Long non-coding RNA from Chenopodium quinoa (quinoa), 814 nucleotides. RefSeq lists it as uncharacterized. The transcript has 2 exons. Lineage: Eukaryota; Viridiplantae; Streptophyta; Magnoliopsida; Caryophyllales; Amaranthaceae. The record is from RefSeq and is a predicted model, not a curated record.